ACAACUCUGAGCGGCGGAUCACUCGGCUCGCGCGUCGAUGAAGAGCGCGGCCAGCCGCGAGAACUCGUGUGAAUUGCAGAACACACCGAGCAUUGACGUCUCGAACGCACAUGGCGGCCUCGGGUCCUCCCGGGGCCACGCCCGUCUGAGGGUCGGACGAACUGUACGUCGCGGUCGACGCCGCGCUUCGGAUCGAUUUUUCUCCUCCCCUUAACAACGGGAAGAGCGAUCCUCGCUAUCACGGUCGCCCCGAGUCGUUGGCCAAAAAGACUGGGGCGGCCCAUCCUCACCGGUAACACGGCGACGAUCGAGAAACUCGGCCGCGGACGGCGGAAGCGUUUUCGCUCUCGCAUCCUUGCCCGGCUCGAUAUCACGUUGAGCUCGGCGCUCGGGUCAUUAGAGAGAGUAGAGUCUCGCUUCUUGUUCCSGAAGGGGGUUGUUUUUUUUUAUUA
This 452-nucleotide unclassified non-coding RNA is filed under the name Coryphella verrucosa. RNAcentral's name for it is "contains 5.8S rRNA and ITS2". The stretch from base 3 to 155 matches the Rfam family "5.8S ribosomal RNA". The record is from RNAcentral. Lineage: Eukaryota; Metazoa; Mollusca; Gastropoda; Nudibranchia; Coryphellidae.